Molecule: ribosomal RNA, 253 nt
Filed under: uncultured bacterium
Lineage: Bacteria
Description: partial 16S ribosomal RNA
Rfam family: Bacterial small subunit ribosomal RNA
Source: RNAcentral
UACAUAGGGUGCGAGCGUUGUCCGGAAUUAUUGGGCGUAAAGGGCUCGUAGGCGGCCAACUAAGUCAUACGUGAAAUCCCUCAGCUUAACUGGGGAACUGCGUGUGAUACUGGAUGGCUUGGAUUUGGGAGAGGGAUGCGGAAUUCCAGGUGUAGCGGUGAAAUGCGUAGAUAUCUGGAGGAACACCGGUGGCGAAGGCGGCAUCCUGGACCAAUAUUGACGCUGAGGAGCGAAAGCCAGGGGAGCAAACGGG